UACGUAGGCACCAAGCGUUGUCCGGAUUUAUUGGGCGUAGAGAGCUCGUAGGCGGUUCAGUGAGUCGGGUGUGAAAACUUUGGGCUUAACCCAAAGCGUGCAUCCGAUACUGCUGUGACUUGAGUUCGGUAGGGGAGUGGGGAAUUCCUAGUGUAGCGGUGAAAUGCACAGAUAUUAGGAGGAACACCGGUGGCGAAGGCGCCACUCUGGGCCGAAACUGACGCUGAGGAGCGAAAGCAUGGGUAGCAAACAGG
This 254-nucleotide ribosomal RNA is filed under the name uncultured bacterium. Its description in RNAcentral is "partial 16S ribosomal RNA". It matches the Rfam family "Bacterial small subunit ribosomal RNA", at positions 524 to 776 of the family's 1533-position model. The record is from RNAcentral.